Molecule: long non-coding RNA, 851 nt
Filed under: Musa acuminata (dwarf banana)
Lineage: Eukaryota; Viridiplantae; Streptophyta; Magnoliopsida; Zingiberales; Musaceae
Description: long non-coding RNA (MACU_LNC004843)
Source: RNAcentral
UUCUUUUCACCAGAUUGGACACAAGAUUCAAAGAAACAAACAACGUUAUACAGAUUCACAAACUGGGAGAAUAGUUCCAACCAUUGACUUUCGGAGGCUCAAAUUUGUUGACAAUAGAUAUGUAGUAGCAUCUUAACUAAAUGAUCAAUUUACCCAGCCAGAAAAGCCAAGUUGAAACAGAGAAAAGACUCAAGGUGGUCCAUCGUUCACAAGACCCUUAGGUUCUUCUGUCAAAUGUUCAGCACCAGCCUAAACUCCUGGAUCUAUAGUUCUUGAAUCGCAUUCAACGAUAGAUUUCCCCAUUUCUCAAGAUCAUGACAUACCAUAUGGUUAGACCCAUAUUCCUUGAUCAGAUUGGCACAGAAGAAUCAAGAAACUACACGAAUCGAUUUAAAAAAAAAAGCGUCGUACAGAUUUAUAAACUGGGAAUACAUCGUCAUGGCAGAAGAGAAUAAACUCCAAGAAAUAACAAGAACCAAGAAUAUGACCACAUAGCAUGGAAGAUUGGGUACCUCGUCCAGGUGUCCGGAUCGACCCAUUGGCGAUGGGGAGCCGCAUGGUGGGGGGAGAAACCCGAGACAUCUGCCUGCGAGAGAACCGACAUCCCCCCGCCCCCUUGCGCGGCAAGACCAGUGGAUCCGCGGUGGCGAUCGUACCCGGUUUCGCCCGCUCCUUCUUGGAUCCAAGGACGUCCGCAGAACUGCGAUCGAGGGAACUCGAAAGAGGGUUUCGAUCGAACAAACUUGGGUGGAUCGGAAAGCAACGAGGAGGGAAAAGGGAUGCAAACCGUUUAAAUCGUGACGACGCUAAUCUUUUUCCCUUCGAAUCCUCGUUUCUUUGCGUACGGAAAC